RNAcentral lists this ribosomal RNA (201 nucleotides) under Triticum aestivum (bread wheat). Its description in RNAcentral is "partial small subunit ribosomal RNA". Lineage: Eukaryota; Viridiplantae; Streptophyta; Magnoliopsida; Poales; Poaceae. The record is from RNAcentral.
AUGGCGGAGGAACCAUCCGCCAAACAUCAUCAAGGCGAGCCGUCGGACAAGAGCAGCAACCUCAUCGACGUUCAUGUCCCCAGCGAGAAGCGCGAGUACACCACAACACUCACAGGGGUUGAGCUCCAUGGCAAGGAGACGCUGGAGAUCGUCUGCACCAGCGAACCAGUCAAGGCCGACGAGGUGAUCUCUAGGCUCUGA